AUUGAACGCUGGCGGAAUGCUUUACACAUGCAAGUCGAACGGCAGCACGAGGGCAACCUUGGUGGCGAGUGGCGAACGGGUGAGUAAUACAUCGGAACGUGCCCAGUCGUGGGGGAUAACGUAGCGAAAGCUACGCUAAUACCGCAUACGAUCUAUGGAUGAAAGCGGGGGACCGUAAGGCCUCGCGCGAUUGGAGCGGCCGAUGGCAGAUUAGGAGUUGGUGGGGUAAAGGCUCACCAAGCCUGCGAUCUGUAGCUGGUCUGAGAGGACGACCAGCCACACUGGAACUGAGACACGGUCCAGACUCCUACGGGAGGCAGCAGUGGGGAAUUUUGGACAAUGGGCGCAAGCCUGAUCCAGCCAUGCCGCGUGAGUGAAGAAGGCCUCGG
Molecule: ribosomal RNA, 389 nt
Filed under: uncultured bacterium
Lineage: Bacteria
Description: bacterial SSU rRNA
Rfam family: Bacterial small subunit ribosomal RNA
Source: RNAcentral